AGCAGCCGCGGUAAUUCCAGCUCCAAUAGCGUAUAUUAAAGUUGUUGCAGUUAAAAAGCUCGUAGUUGAAUUUCGGGAUCAAGGAAUCGGUCAUGCCUUGGUAUGUCCUGGUUUUAUUGGUUCUCACCUUCUAAAGAACCAUAAUGUCAUUUAUUUGAUGUUAUGGGGAAUUAGGACUGUUACCUUGAAAAAAUUAGAGUGUUUAAAGCAAGCUUACGCUUGAAUACAUUAGCAUGGAAUAAUGAAAUAGGACAUCAGAUUCUAUUUUGUUGGUUUCUAGGAUCGAUGUAAUGAUUAAUAGGGAUAGUUGGGGGCAUUAGUAUUCAAUUGUCAGGGGUGAAAUUCUUGGAUUUAUUGAAGACUAACUACUGCGAAAGCAUUUGCCAAGGAUGUUUUCAUUAAUCAAGAACGAAAGUUAGGGGAUCGAAGACGAUCAGAUACCGUCGUAGUCUUAACCAUAAACUAUAGCCGACUAGGGAUCGGAUGAUGUUAAUUUUUAAUGACUCAUUCGGCACCUUAC
This 520-nucleotide ribosomal RNA is filed under the name uncultured Glomus. Its description in RNAcentral is "SSU rRNA". It matches the Rfam family "Eukaryotic small subunit ribosomal RNA", at positions 569 to 1091 of the family's 1831-position model. The record is from RNAcentral. Lineage: Eukaryota; Fungi; Glomeromycota; Glomeromycetes; Glomerales; Glomeraceae.